UUGGAGUUAGGGUUAGUGUUGGAGCUAGGGUUAGGGUUGGGCUUGGAGCUAGGAUUUUUCUGAGUGCAAUGAACCAACUCCCGAGUCUCUAGGACGUUCCUAAAAAAAUUUGAUUUUUUUCCAUAGGAAUGCAUGGGUUAGGGUUAGGGUUAGGGUUGGAGCUAGGGUUAGGGUUAGGGUUAGGGUUGGAGUUAGGGUUAGUGUUGGAGCUAGGGUUAGGGUUGGGCUUGGAGCUAGGAUUUUUCUGAGUGCAAUGAACCAACUCCCGAGUCUCUAGGACGUUCCUAAAAAAUGUGAUUUUUUCCUAUAGGAAUGCAUGGGUUAGGGUUAGGGUUAGGGUUGGAGCUAGGGUUAGGGUUAGGGUUAGGGUUGGAGUUAGGGUUAGUGUUGGAGCUAGGGUUAGGGUUGGGCUUGGAGCUAGGAUUUUUCUGAGUGCAAUGAACCAACUCCUGAGUCUCUAGGACGUUCCUAAAAAAAAUUUGAUUUUUUUCCCAUAGGAAUGCAUGGGUUAGGGUUAGGGUUAGGGUUGGAUCUAGGGUUAGGGUUAGGGUUAGGGUUGGAGUUAGGGUUAGUGUUGGAGCUAGGGUUAGGGUUGGGCUUGGAGCUAGGAUUUUUCUGAGUGCAAUGAACCAACUCCCGAGUCUCUAGGACGUUCCUAAAAAAAUUUGAUUUUUUUCCCAUAGGAAUGCAUGGGUUAGGGUUAGGGUUAGGGUUGGAGCUAGGGUUAGGGUUGGAGUUAGGGUUAGUGUUGGAGCUAGGGUUAGGGUUGGGCUUGGAGCUAGGAUUUUUCUGAGUGCAAUGAACCAACUCCCGAGUCUCUAGGACGUUCCUAAAAAAAAUUGAUUUUUUCCCAUAGGAAUGCAUGGGUUAGGGUUAGGGUUAGGGUUGGAGCUAGGGUUAGGGUUAGGGUUAGGGUUGGAGUUAGGGUUAGUGUUGGAGCUAGGGUUAGGGUUGGGCUUGGAGCUAGGAUUUAUCUGAGUGCAAUGAACCAACUCCCGAGUCUCUAGGACGUUCCUAAAAAAAUUUGAUUUUUUUCCCAUAGGAAUGCAUGGGUUAGGGUUAGGGUUACGGUUGGAGCUAGGGUUAGGGUUAGGGUUAGGGUUGGAGUUAGGGUUAGUGUUGGAGCUAGGGUUAGGGUUGGGCUUGGAGCUAGGAUUUUUCUGAGUGCAAUGAACCAGCUCCCGAGUCUCUAGGACGUUCCUAAAAAAUUUGAUUUUUUCCCAUAGGAAUGCAUGGGUUAGGGUUAGGGUUAGGGUUGGAGCUAGGGUUAGGGUUAGGGUUAGGGUUGGAGUUAGGGUUAGUGUUGGAGCUAGGGUUAGGGUUGGGCUUGGAGCUAGGAUUUUUCUGAGUGCAAUGAACCAACUCCCGAGUCUCUAGGACGUUCCUAAAAAAAUUUGAUUUUUUCCCAUAGGAAUGCAUGGGUUAGGGUUAGGGUUAGGGUUGGAGCUAGGGUUAGGGUUAGGGUUAGGGUUGGAGCUAGGGUUAGGGUUAGGUGUGGGGUUGGAGUUAGGGUUAGUGUUGGAGCUAGGGUUAGGGUUGGGCUUGGAGCUAGGAUUUUUCUGAGUGCAAUGAACCAACUCCCGAGUCUCUAGGACGUUCCUAAAAAAAAUUGAUUUUUUCCAUAGGAAUGCAUGGGACAAAAAAUUUGAAAAAUUUUUUAAGUGCCAACCCAAUUUUUCACCUUCCAGAAUUGUGUUAGGAGCACGUUUCAGGCCACGGGGAGUCUAUAGAACCUAAUUCUGGGGGAAGCUUUUUGAAAAGUUUACUUAGGGUUAGGGUUAGGGUUGGAGCUAGGGUUAGGGUUAGGGUUAGGGUUGGAGCUAGGGUUAGGGUUAGGGUUAAGGUUGGAGCUAGGGUUAGGGUUAGGGUUAGGGUUGGAGCUAGGGUUAGGUUUAGGGUUAGAGCUAGGGUUAGGGUUAGGGUUGGGGCUAGGGUUAGGGUUAGGGUUAGGGUUAAAAGAAGUCAGGGCCUGUUGACAGGAGGGCGCUACAUGUGAUAAAAUACACUUUUGAAGCAUUUCUGCUGCCAUGGAUUCAUGCUUUCUUAUUUUGUGAUGGAAAUAAUGAGCUCAGAGUUCAGUUCACAUGAAUUGAAAUGAACUGGGUCACAUUCAUAAUCAAUUUCUUUUUUCAAAACUAAGUUUAAGGUCCAAAAAAGAAACUAUUUAACAUUCAUCUUUUUCAGCUGUACCUAAAUUCUCGCCUAAGCUUCAAUACCAAACUCUGACAUUUUCCAAACUAAAUGCAUGAUCAAACUUUACUCAAGAGUCACAGAUGAAUAUUGAGUCUACAAGCCAAGAAAAUCCUAUUCCAGCAUGUUUCAUUAAUCAAAUGUGAAAAAAAUCUGCAGCUUUGAAGACAUCAAAACACACAACUAUGAUUUGUUGGAAGAAGAUUCUGCUAAAGAGUCCAACUUUAUCCCGAACACAUGGGAAAAUCAGCUUCAUAAUUAACAAUGAGGACGAGAUGGUUUUUACUUCCUCUGAAAUAAAAGAGCUAAGACUAAAGAAAUACUCAGCAAAGAGACUUCCUCUCCAUUUUCAAAAAGCUGCACCUGACGGAAACCAAACAGGUUUUUGCACAUCAUGGUCCAUCUAUGUGUUCCUGAAGUGAAAGGGUAAAAUGAGGUUAAAAGAGGUUGUAGCGCUGUAGGACCCUUGGAGGCAGAGUCUAUAAAUAGGGGCUGGAUCUCACCUGAGCCUCCCUUUCUGCACUGACACCGGAGUGCACCUGAGUGAGCAGCUGAGCCCAGACUUUGUCUCCUCUAGUGGUCUCUUUAUAUUUGGAAACAUGUUAAAAAGAUUUUCAUGAUUAUUUUACUGCAGCAUGAAAUAACUUGUUUUAAAUUAUAGAGUGACAUUAAGUCAAAGCUUUGUUUAGCAUUUGUGUUAGAUUUUCCACCCUUUGUAUGGGACUAACUCUUGAGAGUGAUCGCUUAGGCAUAUUAGCAGAAAACCAUAGUGAGGCAGUGUUUUAGAUAUUCUUAUUUUAGUUUGACUUCUUUUAAAUAUACUUUUAAAAUGUGAAUUUUAUUGAACAAACUCUACUUGAAGAGCCAACCACUGUUUUUCCCAGACACAUGUCUGUCAUUUUCAUUAAAAUCAUUUUAUGUCUUUUUGAUUUUGAAUAGUUUUAAAGGGAUAUUCCGGCUUAAAAUUAAUUUUGGGUCAAACACACUGUAACACUGAGUUAGACACCCCUUCCAGCUGCUGGAGGAGAGUAGGUGAGUUGUGUUUAGUCUCUUUGCUAAAGAAAUCAGGCAAAGCUAAAAAGAUGUUUGGUGGCUGGGACCCUAUAUGUACUGUUGAUGAAGUUAGGUGCUGUUCUGAGCAUUAUUUGUGGUUAUAGAGUGGCGUUUUGGUUGAGGUUUGUUUAUGGCUCCUCAGACCGCUGUGUAUUGCUAUCGUGCGGUCGUUACUAAAGUUGGUAUAACUAGAGAAGCAAGCAGUCAGCAACAUUCAUCUCUUAAGGGGGUGUCUAAUCCGGUGUUACGGUGUAUUUGACCCUAAAUUAAUUUUAUGCCGGAAUAUCCCUUUAAUCUCUCUUUUUUAAUUUCUUGUGUAUUUCCUUGCAUCUGUAAAGCACUUUAAAUUGCUUUGUGUAUGAAUGGUUCCAUACAAAUAAACUUGCCUUGCCUUUUCAGCAGGUCUGAUCAGGAGAAAAAGCCCUGAAGUUUUCCUGCGUAACUGUGCAAGAGGAUGCAGUUGACAGACUCGCACUCACUGGGUGCAGUUGAUCAGCAAAGGUUUGCUGAUUGUUAAAAGUUUAAAAGUUACAAGACCUUUUGAAUGCCAUCCUCUAUUCCAGCAUCUCAAAAGUUUUGAAUGCUGUUUGACGUAGCUGAUAAAGAGAGACUAACCUGUGCUUGGGAACCAUGAGUGCACUCUAUGUAGUCCUCUCGAAAUGAGUUGCAUUGUUAUCGGGCCUGUGUCAUUGGAAACUGGAGAGGUUUACAGCUAAAACUACAAUAUACUUUUUUGAGGACGUGUUUGCAGAAGGAGACAAGUGACUCCUGUUUAGAAAAAUGAAUCCCCCAAACAACAAUCAGUAUUUCAGGCAUGAGCGCUCUGUUUGAGUUUUCUUAUUUUGCAGAAGUUCACAUCCUUGUGUUUCGACAAAGCACCGACAUUGAAAUUCACAGCGUGCAGUCAAAAAUCCUCGAUUUGAAACAUACUGGAGAGAGUUCCAGUUUCUACAAAAGCGGAUGAAAAACUCAGCGACAGUGCCUGUAAGUCAAAGUUGAAGUGCAGUUUGGUUCAACACUCCAGGAACUUUGUGUGAUACAAUAUUAAUGAUCCAGCAUUAAUAAUGAAUCCAAAAGAAGACGAGAACGUGUUGCUGUUUCACAUCAAUGAGUUGUCGAAGAAGAGGAAUCAUCUAAUGAGAAAUUUCACUCAAAAUUAAACAUAAUGUAAUCAAUUAACCAUCAGUAACCAAUCAUUAAACCCUCAAAUAUUCCCAAAAUAGUCCUUAUCUGAUGGCAAAGCAUCACUUAAAGCCAUAACCCAGUUUUCAGCUCUUCUUUUUGUAUUCUCUUUAUCCUUUUCUAAUCAAAUGCUUGACAGCAGAGAGCGUGGCUGUUUCCGUUGCAGUUUGUCUUGUACAAUAGCGGGCGUACAGUAUCAGAGGCCUAAAAUGGAGCACAGCGGCGUCCCCAAAUGAAAGCCCCCAAAUUGGCAUCCACAUAAGAGGAAGGAGGGUGUGUGUGUGUGUUUCUCAGUCUCCCUCCGACACUCUGACAGCUGUGUCACUUUCACAGGCCUCAUAAUGAGCAUCCCUGUCUCAGCUCUUUCCCCCAACCUCACCCUCGAUCUCUUCUUCGCAUUUCUUCUCCUUCUUCUUCUUCAUUCUGUCUAUCAUUCCCGGUGGCUUGGCCUGAUCUUUGACUGCCACCCCCAUUUUCUUUGCAGGUCCAUCUUCUGCUCUGGUUGGCAGGUAAUUACCAGCCAGGUGACAGCAGCCUGUUCGAGGAGUUGAGAGGUCAUCAGGGUGUGAUCACUUUUUCUUUUUGUUGUACAGACUUUUUCAGGAACUCCUUGUGAGGCAGCGAUAUGUAUUGUUAGUACAGAGCUGUAGCUUCCAUCUUUAUGUUUUUCUAUUGUGAGCGCUGCUCCCAUCUUCAUCCCCCCCAACUAUCUUUGAUCCUGUGACUGAAAGGAGGGUUGUGUAAAGGGCUUGUUUUUUCUGACUUGAACACAGUCAUUACAGGGAAACAGCAGGAUAAUGGUACAAGUUUAAGUGCAUGUGAGGGCAUGAGAAAGAAAAAACUGUACACUAAGUGGAAGAGAAAAAAGGAGAGAGCAGCAUCAAGGAAAAGAUGAAACAAAACCCGGAGACAAAGCGUGUCAACAAUGCGAUAGCGGAUUAAAGUGACAGUUUAAAGUCAGAGGGAAAUGGUUUUUUGAUGGCGUCUUUCUAGUGGAACAGUAGAGGGAGGGACAGCUCAAAAGUAUAAGCAGGUUGGACCGUGACAAACAUUGAAAAAGAUUUGAAAGAAGUGCUUGUAAGUUUCCCUUUUGUUGUAGGAGACUAUUGUUGCCUCUAGCAAUUCUGGCUGGAGAAAGUGAUGCAGAAAAACUUUCUCUAACAUGGAUGAAGUUGUAGGUUUGUACAGAGCAGGAAAAGGUUUCAGGGAAAUCUUCAGAUACCUGUGAUAGAAAUUUUUAGCAGGCCUUGAAAGCCCUUUUUAUUGAUAUUUGGUCACCUUAGAGCAGCUGUCCAACAAAGUUUUAAUAUGUUGGAAAUCAGGCACAUUAACCAUUUAGCAGAGAUUCACAAGAGACGUAUUUUGUUCCCUUGUAGCUCUAUUUUUGGUCUCCGCCACCCCUCAAAGGAAAGUCAAUCUAUUAAGAGGCUAAAUUCUUGGAUAUUUUUACCAUCUACAGUCUGAUUUCGUGCAUUUUCUGCUUUCUUUUAUCAGGUGUGGACAGGUGCCUUAUUACAGGGUUGGAAGUACUUUCUGUUCUCAGAGGUCUCUAAAUUGUGAUUAUGAAGUUUUUAGCCAAAAUCACAUUACAUGUGUCAUUUUCAAGGGCUUUUCUUCUGCAGAGCUUGAGUAGCUCAUCAGCGCUGCUCUGCACACUCCUAUUCACGUUAGCUUGUAGUCUAACAUUGCUGGUGCAGUCGAAGUGGCAGGUAACAUAGGAGCUAUUCAGCUCUCUGACACUAUUGUCUUUAAGGGCAUGAUGAAAGUUUAUAUCAUAAUUAGCUUUCUUACGAGCAUUGCAAUCCGCCAACGCACACGCUUGUUUCAUGAUCAUCCUCUCUACUUUUUCGAGUGUGGCCUGCAUAGUGGGGCUCCGGGGGCGGAGCUUAGAUUUGUUACGAAGGAAAUCUCACUGUAUCUGAGCCUGCCGUUUGGGUCUGCCAGAGAUUCACAGCGCUUUAUAUUCAGAAAUACUCUCAUGAUAUUUUCCUGAAGCAUCAGGAAAAUACCAUAUGAACAUGUAGACAACAAGAAAAACAUAAUUUUUAUCGAAGUCGGUCUCAGAAGUUGUGUUAUAUAAUGAAAGGAAUAACCCCUGUUGUCUUUUAAGGCUAAAUGUAGCACUCACCAUGAAAAUCUACACAGGGAAAAAGUAAUUAUGGCUGUUUCCUCAGUGUACAUAUCCUCUCACAGCCAUUAUAGGUGUCAAAAAUUAUGUUUUAAAGGUUACCAGGCUUGUCAUCAAUGGUCUUUCCUUGUUUUUUCACAUCAUAGAGAUGCAGCUCUGUUCAUUUCAAACAAAUCAAAAACUCCUCACAGGAGCUUUGAUCUAAACAGAAGUAAAUCUGCGGAUGCCUGGAGGCAGAAAUAAAGAGAAACUGGAGACAAUGUUUUAGUGUAAAGGACACCCAAAUACAACUUUUUGCUCAUUAAAUCUAGACCUCCCUAUUGUCAGAUACUGUAUUUAAAUAAAUCUUUAAUAAUCUCUGGCCUGAGGCCUGAUGCCUCUCUGCGCCCUCAUGUCUACAAUGACAUAGAUGUACAACAGUGAGCCGUGUCCUCUACUCUGGCUUCCCGGUCUUUCGUCUUGCUAAGCGGUGUUAAUUGUUGUCUGUGUGAUCUGGUCAUGUUUUGGUUGGCUCAUACCCCUUAUUUAUCUCAUUCACCGAAUUAACACAUUGAAACAGCAUCCUGCGGCUACAUUUGAAGCUCAAAGAGCCAUAAGCCGCCCAUUUAACAUUAGCUUCCCCACACUAAUGGGGACACAGGUGUGAAAUAAAAAAGGGAACAAAGUAGAGCAGCAUUUGGUCUCAUGAUGUGCUCUGUGGUUAAUCAGCCACUUCAUAACAGCUUUUGUCUGUCAUUACCUCAAACUCAAACAUUUAGAGAAAACUGGGGUGUACCGUUAUAUGUAUAAAUCUUAUGGUUUGAUGAAAAGAUCUGACUUAAUCUCAAAGAUGUGAAGGAAGUAGAUCCUUCCCAGAGCUAAUGCUUGUUGAAGCUAAAGCUAAUAUUUUUGUACAGUUGGUGUUUUACCUGGAUACCUGUAUUGAGCUCAACUAUCAGGAGCUAGUAUGGUAGCAGAAGGAGAUGGUACAGGAGAGGGCUUCACAGCUUCACAGAAAAUGCAUGUUGUUGAUUUUCUUAAAAGCAAUUUAAAGGCAUGGUUGACGAUUGAAGAGAUUGGUAAUUAUUAUGAACCUUGUUUCUAUGGCGAUCAUGGUCCUAUAGUGCGAUCUCCACAAAGUGAAGAGAAAAAAGAAUGGCAAAAAUCUGUUCACCCUAGCAGCUGCAGGGCUGUAAAAACAUUGACCAAUGGGAGCCAUCUGUCCCGGACAGCUCCUAUUGGUCGAUCUCCUGCUCCACCUCUCCGUCCAAUCACUUUGCGGUAUUCGACACACUUCUCUCCCGUUGUUCUGGCACGUCUCCUCCCACUCUCCAGGCCCUCCUUGGAGCUCUGAGCGGCUUAAAGUAGCGUAGCAGCUUAGCUACAGGAGCUGUGAUGGAGAAGGAAGCAAAUAAACACUUCUGCUUGCCCCACCGCCAAAUGCUAAGAAAACGCAAACCGACAAAAGAGAGGGCAUAGUCAAAGAGGAAAUGUGACCAAGCGAUGAAUCUAACUUGAAUAAACAUCGGGUCAUCCUUCGAGCGGUGGAGAAAGCUCCGCCAGGAUUUGGGCCUGAAAACAGAUGCCGAGACAGCAGAGUUUUUGUUGAACAGGUAAUUUUUGCCUUUGAUCGUGGCGUAUUUUACAUAAACAACUCUUAUUAGUCUCUGCAAUGUCAACACAGUAGCUGUCCAGGCAGCUGCAGACGGUGCUCGCUUUCAGAGCUGGCGUUUACUGCUGCUAGUCACUAGCGAUCCAACAUGGUGAAUCCUAUUUGAAGCAAGCGCAGGAUCUUCUGACGGCCGGCUUCUUGCUCUGCCAGAGGGGGGUGUGUUGUGGGGAGGGCGAUACAGGUUUGGGGGGGAAGUUACCAUGGAGCACAGAGAGGAGAGGUUUGUGUGUGGGGGUUGGGACGCUUUUUUCAAAAUCUGCCUCAAUGGCUCAGUUUUUUUUUUCAACUGCUUCUCCAAUCGUCAACCAUGCCUUUAAGUCUUUGUGUAGGAGGAUGACUUCAACCCUUUUUGCUGGGGGACAACCUCAAAAACUGAUCUACAGUGGUGCAGCUCCUUUUCCUGAUUAUGUGACACAUGCACUCCCUCACUAGUAAUGGGAUCUGUUUGAAACAGUUAGGGACCAAGUUCACCAUAACGUGUAUUUCUUAGCUUCUGAAUCUUAUUUCUACGUUUGGUUUGGUUGUACAAACAGAUGAACUUCUAGAGAAAGACUCAGCUGUUCCUGUGAGGUUGCAAAAGGUAAAUUUAAAUCACAUCCUAAGAGAAGCCACCACGCCUGUCAGAGUGACUCCACUGUGAUAUUUUCAGAGCGAUAUGAACAAGCUGUGUCUCUUCCUCCUGCUCAGCAUACUGUUAUUGCACACUUAGACCUUGGUUAUAUAAGACUCAGUAGCCUUUAUUUAGCCAGAGAAGGCUUUCAUUUGAGGUGCAGCAUAAAUGAUGCAGGGCUCUGAAUGACGCACGCAGACACAAAAGCAACGGAAAGGUUUCCCACUGUGGCCACCAUUCUGGGCAAAAACAUCGCCACCAUGCUGGCAACAAGGCUGAGUCACAAACUGGACGCCGUGUAUGACGUCUGCACCUCAACUUAAAGUCUGCGGCUGUAGGCUCCUCCCAGGAAGAAGAACAUCUAAGUAAACUCUCAUAUUUAGAUGCAACUCUGUAAUUCAAGAGUCAGUCGUUGAUGCGUUUAAAGAAAGAGAGGAGCGAUGCACUUUCUAAAUAAGUAAAAAGUUUCUAUUUGAGCUUCGCUUUGAUGCUCCCAACAAGCUUUAAAGACAGUCAGGAGGGUGUGGUUGGAGUCUCGGCAUCCACUUCCUCAGACCAACACCACAGAACAUUCUGGAAACUGCUGACUGUCUGUUCCUGCCCACAACCACAACGCCAUGUACAACCAUCAUCUAGCAACAAGACAGUGUCUUCUUGCACCAGCUAACCCUAAUACCUACUCUGACAGCGCAAUUAUCACAUCCACAUGACAGUUGUCUUCCUGCUAUAACACUAGAUUUGAAAAUGGAACAUGCACCGUCCUCUUCAGUUGCAUCUGCAUGUUACAGACAACUGAGAGAGAACGUGGCUUUCAUUGGAAAACACCCCCUGUCCUGAUUGAUAUGCAACAACUGUCCUCAUAUAGGCUGCCUGCUAUUACUGCUGCUGGACUGGGAGAGAAAAAAAAAAGGCAGAAAGGCACAGAGACUCAGAUGAAAAGCCCACAGCUUACUCUGUGAUCCAGCGUCUCUUUUUUUGUGCCCAGAGAAAACAGGACUGAGCUGUUUUCUAAGCUCAACAGACCUGCAGAUGUGUUGCUAAUUUCCUGUUUAUUAAACCGGUUUAAUUGAUCCUUCAGCGUUGCUCAGGAUUAACAUCAGUUUUCUUCCUACUAUGAGAUAUGAAAGGUUAAGCCCCAGAGUACGAUUGUGUUUGACUCGAGUCUUUGAUCUGUGGCGUAUAGAGGAAAAUUCAUCCCUUGUGAUGCAAGACACAGAAAUAAAGUCGUCACUGUGUUUGUAUGACGGAUUCUCGUUUGUUGUCCUGUGCUAAAGGUCAGUGCUUUUCUGCUGAGCCAGGCUCAAAAAAAUCAGGACGUAUGCCCCAGUGAGCAGACUUCACAAGGCUUGUCAGAUGUUUUUUAUGGCUUUCAGCUCACACACACUCACUGUUGCCGCCAGAUUCAGUCAACCCUCAUGUUGCAUUACCUAUAGCGGGGCGGCUCGAGCCAUGACUUAGCUCAUUAGACAGAGACAAAAGAGGGCCUGACAGUUUACAUAACCACAGCAGAUAUGUGCCCUGUAGGCAUAAUCAACAACAGCAAAACAUCUCCUUAAUUAAAAAUCAUUAACUUGAUGCAUUUGCGAUUAACACCACCAAUUAAUUACACGCAGAGCUAAUGUCUCAUAAAUAAUGGAAAGCAGAGUAGAAGGAUGAAAGGAUGGAUGGAUUUGUUCAGGGUAGCAAGAGAGGGAAAGAACAGAUGGAUGAUCCUUUCGCUCGUUUUGCUGCGUCGCUUCACGUCCCGUCCCCCCGCCCAGACCACUAAACUGCACUAAUGGGCUUCUGGUGUCAGUGGUCCAGCAUUAAUGGCGACACUUUUGUUUAGGAGGACAAAUGAAUGUGUCUGAACCGCUGCUGGAGCCAUCUGUUGACAGGGGUCCACAUCCACUGAGGCUGCGUCGGCCACUGCAAGGGAAUGAGGCCCUUAAGUCUAGCAUUGCUAAUUUCAUUAAGUGUGUAAGAGGCCACAAGAGUCUGCAAAUACACUCCACAUCUGUAUGUUUGUUGUUUAAACAGGAUGAAGUGUUUUUGAGUCACAGAGGCAGAUGGUCAAUGCUUGGGCCCAGUUCUGGAUUUGAAGUGCUGCUACUACAUCUAAGUCACAGGGUACGGCACCGAAGUUUCAGGGUGAAAACAGCCAUCUGGAGAUACCCAAAAGCUAAUUGACGAGGAGACAUUUAUGAAGUCAUGACUCUACAUAUGUCACAAUGAUUUUCAUAAUUUUCAUGACUGAACUGUUGACCUUUUGGUAGAUAUUGUUGGACCUCAUUUUGCAAAAUGUAGAGUUAUAUUUACAACUUAAUCACAGAUAUUCCAAUCAGCCUGUAAUAGACUGUAAAUACUAUGGACAACUUGGUUCUGCCUCCCGCCUGCAUACGGAUUUGAAGCCAAAAAGCUCUCUGUAAUUCUGCGUUUUUUCUCCACUUCCUGAAACCAACAAUGCGCGGAAGCGUUGUACGCACUCCACCACUUGAGCAGUACCAUUGGACGCUUUUCGCAGGAAAGUCGCUGUGAUGACACUCGGCUCAAACAGCGUAUCCCCCGGGUGAGCUAUGCAAUCUUCAUACGCCCAUAGGCUGUAUCAAGUGUCAAUCAUAAAAAACAUGAACCCCCUAAUAACUUUUAAAAAUGGAGCUGCACAGAAAAAAAGAGGACCUGAGCACAAACCAGUCUUACAGUAACUAUAUAACAUCGCAAGCAGGGGGAAAAAAAUGUAUGUUCUGUGUAAUAAAUUUCUAAAGUUUGUCCACAACUCCAUAAGGAUUGCUGGCGGAGGCGGGAUUUAUGACCUAUACUGCAGCCCAUCACCAGAGGGUGCUGUUCUGGGGGUGGCUUCACCCAGCGAGGAGGCAGAUACUGUCCAUUCUUUAUACAGUCUAUGGUUACAAUGCAAUAUGCAGUGAUCAUGGUGAGUAAAAUAUAAAAUGUAAAGCAUUAUUCUUAACGAUCAACAUGCUAGUAUGGAUCUGAUGUGCUAACAAUAGCUGUUAGCUCUUUGAUUAUAGAGUUUGAAAUACUGGAUUUCUAGUUUUCAUGAAUUAUAAGCCAAAACUCUCUGUUUGGAAAAGCUUCAAAACCUAUUUGAAUUGUUCAGAAGACUUAACAUUUGUGCCUCCAAACAAUUUGAAGUCUUUUUGAAAGGGAUAUUAAACAAGAACUUUUUUUCAGAACAUGCUCUGCCAUUUAUUAUUUGAUGUGGAAUACAUUACAGCCAAAAGUUGGUGAUGCAGAUUUUAUUAACAGAGACAAAAAAAACAUCCUUCAAAUUGUGGAUGGGUUUCACAUCUGACGCUGACUUUUAUUUUUUAUUCAUUCUUUUUAACACGCCAAGCAUCACCUCUGUAAUUUCUCUUUUUCUCACUCUGUAGAAAUAUCCUCUCCCUCUCUGUCCCUGAUUCCCCUCUCUCUGUCUUGUUUCUACCUCCCCACUGUUCCCCACUCCCUGUCUGUAGCAGCAAUAAUGAAAAAUAGCUCUCCUUCAUAUCUUUGAGUAUAUCUUAAAAAAUAAAAAAAAACCUCCCAAGGCUCCCGUCCAAGUUGGAAGCAUUUCUUUUGAUAUACUGCAGAACAAUUUCAUGCCCAAUUCAUUUAUUCCCGAGGUACUUUAAUUGUGAACUAUUUCCAGACCCACUGUAAAUUUCUUACCAUCUAAUGUUGUAAAAGUGGUUCCAGCAAUUCUUCUCAAAGUGUAGGGUUUGCAUUAGAAAUUCUAUGCUCUGUGAGCGCUUUAUUACACAAUCUUAAUUACAGAUGUUCAAUUGAUACCAUCUCUGACUGGACAAGUGCUGAAAAUAUAAAAUAUUCAUGGAAUCUGAAAACGUUUGUACUAAUGAGUCACAGCUAGACCUCAAAAACUCAUCCAUUUCCUCAUGCUCUGUGAAGCAGAAAAAACAAGUUAUGCGUGUUCUGCUUUAUAGUGUUCUGUUAAAUUAAGGUACAGCUGACUCUAGCCUUUCUGUGUAAACAAAUAAAGCAUCUCAGAAUCUGUCCUUGGCUCACCAGCCAAAAGCCUGAUCUGUAACAUCCCCAUUCUGUUCUUGGGUUAUUCCACAAUAAACUUAUUAUACCAUAACCCAACAGUAUAAGUAGUAGGCUGCACUAAAGCUACCACAAACCACUUCCUCU
Molecule: long non-coding RNA, 12942 nt
Filed under: Xyrichtys novacula (pearly razorfish)
Lineage: Eukaryota; Metazoa; Chordata; Actinopteri; Labriformes; Labridae
Source: RNAcentral